Molecule: long non-coding RNA, 81 nt
Organism: Neltuma alba
Lineage: Eukaryota; Viridiplantae; Streptophyta; Magnoliopsida; Fabales; Fabaceae
Exons: 3
Source: RefSeq, a predicted model, not a curated record
AGGAAAAAGAAAGAAAGAGCUUUUGGAAUCUGGUUCUCUGCCUACUGAUUAAGCCAAUGUUAAAGAAAACACACGAAUCAA